Molecule: long non-coding RNA, 2835 nt
Filed under: Salmo salar (Atlantic salmon)
Lineage: Eukaryota; Metazoa; Chordata; Actinopteri; Salmoniformes; Salmonidae
Description: lncRNA (ENSSSAG00000107679.1)
Source: RNAcentral
UUCACCUUGUCUGCUCGGGAUUCAUGUAUGGGAUUCAUGUACAGGGAAAAAUGUAUGUUAUUUAUAUUUGAGUAGAAUAAGAUUAAUGAAUCAAUCAAUGUACAUAGAUAUGGAAACAAACAAUUUAAUGAAUCAACAUGCAAUAGAGCAUGCUGGGAAAUAUGAUAAUGAUGGGCAUGGUUUUUGCUGAACACUGGCUUUAAACACCAACACUGGGGUUAAUUUACACCAAUGAGUGUUAAUUUAACACUUACAGAGUUCAUUUAAUAACACCUGAAUGAACACUAGAAAUGUUACACUGAAAAAUCAACACCAGGUAACACUGAACAAUUUGCUGUGUACAAGUAAAACAUUAACACGAUUCAUUGAAAAAUAAACCAGACUUUGAACGAAAGUUUAAAAUAAUUUAAUUGCAAAGAUCACAGCUAAGAUAAAAUAUACUGAACACAACAUAAAUAUAAAGCCCAACAUGCAACAUUUUCAAAGAUUUUACUGAGUUACAGUUCAUAUAAGGAAAUCAGUCAAUUGAAAUAGAUUAAUUAGGCCCUAAUCUAUGGAUUCCAUGACUAGGAAUACAGAUAUGCAUCUGUUGGUCACAGAUACCUUUUAAAAAAGGUAUGCGUAUGGAUUGGAAACCAGUCAGUAUCUGGUGUGGGCAUCAUUUGCCUCACACAUCUCCUUCGCAUAGAGUUUAUCUGGCUAUUGAUUGUGGUCUGUGGAAUGUUGUUGAUCCUGAGCAUCCCAAACUUGCUCAAUGGGUUACAUGUCUGGUGAGUAUGCAGGCCAUAGAGAUUUGCAGAUUUCAGGAAUUGUGUACAGCUCCGUGCGCAUUAUCAUGCUGAAACAUGAGGUGAUGGUGGCAGAUGAAUGGCACGACAAUGGGCCUCAGGAUCUCAUCACGGUAUCUCUGUGCAUACAAAUUUCCAUCAAUGAAAUACAAUUGUGUUCGUUGUCCGUAGCUUAUGCCUGCCCAUACCAUAACCCCACCGCCACCAUGGGACAUUCUGUUCAAAACGUUGACAUGAGCAAACCACUCACCCACAUGAUGCCAUACACGCUGUCUGUCAUUUGCCCUGUACAGUUGAAACCAGGAUCCAUCCGGGAAGAGCACACUUCUCCAGCGUGCCGGUAGCCAUCGUAGGUGAGUAUUUUCCACCUGAGGAGGACGACGAGACCCUGGGGAGAACGGCAAGCACGCAGAUGAGCAUCCCCGAGACGGUUUCUGUGCAGACAGUUUGUGCAGAUAUACUUUUGUUGUGCAAAUCCACAGUUUCAUUAGCUGUGGCUGAUCUCAGACGAUCCCGAAGGUGAAGAAGCCAGAUGUGGAGGUCCUGGGCUGGCGUGGUUACACGUGGCCUGCGGUUGAGAGGCCAGUUGGAUGUACUGUCAUAUUCUCAAAAACAACGUUGGAGAAUGCUUAUGGUGGAGAAACGAACAUUCAAUUCUCUGGCAACAUCUCUGGUGGACAUUCCUGCAGUCAAAAUGACAAUUGCUCGCUCCCUCAAAACACGAGACAUCUGUGGCAUUGUGUUGUGUGACAAAUCUGCACAUUUUAGAGUGGCCUUUUAUUGUCCCCAGCACAACAUGCAUCUGUGUAAUGAUCAUGCUUUCUUGAUAUGCCACACCUGUCUGGUGUAUGGAUUAUCUUGGCAAAGGAGAAAUGCUCACUUGCAGGGAUGUAAACAAAACAUACCAUAGCCCCAACGCCGCCAUGGGGCACUCUGUUCACAAUGUCGACAUCAGCAAACCGCUCGCCCACAUGUCGCCAUAGAGGUGGUCUGCGGUUGUGAGGCAGAUUUCUGGGAUCUUUUAUUUCAGCUCAUGAAACAUGGGACCAAAACUUUACAUGUUGCGUUUAUAUUUUUGUUCAGUAUAAUAAACCAUACAAUCAUAUAACCAUGUCAGAUUAGUAAAACAAUUAUAAUACUAGUACUGCAAUUAGUCUCCUUUUGUAGGUAUUCACAGUGUCAAAUAAUUUAUUCACGGAAUUUAGAUUCUUUGAGGAGGAUCCUGCUCCUCAGCUGUAAAUCACUCCAUAUCAAAUGCUGUUUCAGCGGAAGUCUCCUCCUCGCAUUUCAAAUCCCCUCUCUGCCUCAGACUGACCUUAAGUGUAAUGUUAAUAGUGCCGCAGCCCUCUGCAGACACCUCAGUACAGACACGGACAGGGCUAUAUACCGAUUCUUUAAUGAUUUUCAUACAUGCGGAUUGCAGCUGAACGAGCAACCUCGAUGAUAAGUCGCUUGUUUCUUUCCCUUCAUCGUUCUUCUUGUUUUUCUCAGUCGUCUCUUUAGCACUGGGGCUAGAUUCAAGUUCUUCUGACUCUAUAGCAGCUACAUCUUCAAGAACAUCUGCAAUUUCUUCCAGCUCUUCUAGUUCUGCAGCGAUUGCUGAGUAUAUAGCAGCUUCAUUUUCAAGAACAUCUGCAAUUUCUUCCAGCUCUUCAGCGAUUGCUGAGUCUACAGCAGCUUCAUUUUCAAGAACAUCUGCAAUUUCUUCCAGCUCUUCUAGUUCUGCAGCGAUUGCUGAGUAUAUAGCAGCUUCAUUUUCAAGUUCAUCUGCAAUUUCCUCCAGCUCUUCUUUGGGUACGGGGCUCUUCUCCACAGUUGUAUCCUCUGUGGGUUCUUCACCAAAGACCGGUUCUGUUGUCUCCUCUUCAGGUGGGCUGACACUUUCCUCCGUAGGCUGCUCUUCAGAUCUUUCAGUGGUGAUUUGAAUGAUGUCUGCCGUAAGAAAAUCCAGCAGUGAUGAAAGUUCAGGCUCUGCCUCCGGAAAUGAGAAUCUGACUGCCAGUUGCUUUGGAAACAAAUGUGCAGCCAUCAAGACUUCACUUUUCUC